CUCCGCCAACGCCGAGUCAGGGGGACCGCCAUCGCCUCCGCCGCGAAGCGUGCUUCCGUGCACAAGCUCUCCAAGGAGGAGUUCUGGGCCUUGGCUGAGAAGAUCCGGUCGACGGACGCGGCGGCGGCCGUGGAAAUGCUCGAGUCGUAUCUCGCCACAGAUGGAUGAGGGGGCAGUUGAUAGGGAUUGUGGAGGAAAAGAGUUCCAUGCCAUGCCAUGCCAUGGUUUAGCAGUUGGGCUGUGGAUGGCGAUCACAGGUCACAAGACUCUUUGCAGGCUGAAGACUGAAGUCAGACAAACCGAGAAGCCCGAUCUGGAGAUCGUCGGAAUCAAGAGAAUCAUUCGCGGUAUACCAGGUGUGGAGAGGAGUGCUCUGUGUUUUAUGUGUAAAAACACAUCAUGGACUCCAGGCUAGACUUCCAAUAAAGGUUUACCAGUUUCAAACACCCAUGCACGUUUAAAACUAACAGCUACACACACCAUCUAUGAUCUAUCCUGAUUAUUUCAAGAGCUGUAC
This is a long non-coding RNA of Triticum aestivum (bread wheat), 517 nucleotides long. RefSeq lists it as uncharacterized. The record is from RefSeq and is a predicted model, not a curated record. NCBI's taxonomy places the organism in Eukaryota, Viridiplantae, Streptophyta, Magnoliopsida, Poales, Poaceae. The transcript has 3 exons.